Molecule: long non-coding RNA, 2211 nt
Organism: Pleuronectes platessa (European plaice)
Lineage: Eukaryota; Metazoa; Chordata; Actinopteri; Pleuronectiformes; Pleuronectidae
Exons: 2
Source: RefSeq, a predicted model, not a curated record
UUCUGUCUCCACCAACAACAUGAGCGAUGAUUUUCAAAAUGCAGCCUGAAGACAGAAAUAUCACUUUCUCGACGCCUGGAGGAACUUUACUUGUACGUGUUAAUGUGAACCGACACAUGCACAGCACAUGAUGAAACUUCAAGCAAUCGCAUUAACACACACCCAUGCACUAACACUGAAGUGCACAGACACACACACACAUCACACACACACACACACAUCACAAGCACACAGACCUCUUGAGUAACCACAGAAAUAUGUUUCCUCUUCUCUCUUCUCUUAUUUUGGAGUUCAUUACCGAGAAGCCUCAUCCUUGCUUCCUCCUUCUCAAACCAGAUGAGAUGCGGCUCAGUGACCAUAUAAGACCCUCGUCCAGGCUCGCUGUCAGUGUGCUGGACUGGGAUUGGCCGGCUGAUGGACGGAUGUGAUUGGUUCAGGUGCACAAACCAUCAUAAAGGCUCCAUUGUGCAGCAGUAACAUGCUGGUGCCUAUAGCAAUUUGAUAUGUGGGAUCUGUCGUUGCCCUGUGGCCCCCACCUGCAGCUAUACUUUGCAUAAUUCUGAAAAAGACAGACAGGGGCAGGUGCAGGAUGCUGCAGUGAACCAUGAAAUACUAAUUUUGUUGACCAGAGGUUUUCUCUUCUUAUGGCCACGUACUACCAUCAUUUUUCACAUUUAUAAAACGACUGCACAUUGAUUUAAAUGGGGAGCGAUGUGCACAGUUUCAAAGAGGCAGAGAUGUUUCUAUUUCUUAAAAAACAUUAAACCCAAUACUUGAAAGUUGGGAUCCAGGAACAACGAUGUCACAUUGUGUGUAUGUGCACUGUACCUGACCUGUGUCUCUCUGUACCUCCCUGAUUCUCCCUCUCACUGGGUCACAUUGUCUCCUGCACCAGCUGCUGGAAUCCCAAACAUUUUGAUUAUGCCAGAUAAUGUGCCAGGGAUGACAGAGGUUCAGCUCCAGUUACCAAAACCAAUAACUUUCUAUUUUCAUGCUGGAGCCCGAGGGGAUUUCAGUAAAGGCAAAACACGAACUAGCUCCGAAAGCACAGGAUCCACCGACUGCCCCCAAAGUACUGAUAUUCUGGGGAAGCAUUUGGAGAAUCAUGCAAGUCACUUUAUCUGCAGGGAUGUUGCCGCAAAAUAAUGAAAAGCAAUCACUUGUAACCAAACUAAGCCUCGGAGGGACACGAGAGCAGGUUGUCUCGUGGCUUUCCUCCUGAUGCUCACUAUUUAAAAUGUCUUUCAAAAUGUCUCAUACCGUCCUUUUCCAAUAUACCUAUUAAAUAUAUAUUACUCCUAUACAUUUUGGGUAGAGCCUACAUGCUGGCUACAUGGUAGUUUAUGAGGUCCUCUGGUGUGACGCUGCGAGCUAUUCCAAAGUCUAGGCUGUAAACCAAAGGUGACAGAGCCUUCGCCGUGAGGGACUCAUCUUUAUAGAGAAGCUGACGUAUGAUCUCUAAGUAUGUUUACUAUUAUGAUUUUUAUCUGAUUGUGAGUGAAUUUCAUAUUGUUUGUUUUAUAUUAUUAUCGCAUCGGUGUAAUUUACUUUUUGUUCUUCUGUGUGUGUGUGUGUGUCUGUGUGUGUGUGUGUGUGUGUGUGUGUGUGUGUGUUUGUAAAAGAAAAAAUAUUUUUAAAAAAAUCAAACGUUUGCAGGAGGAAGCACAGGAUCUACACACAUAACAGGUUUUGUCAAAUAAUAAAGCUGCACAGUGACGAACCAACAUCAGUGAAGCACAUAUGUGUGUCAGUGCGUGCGCGCGUGUGUGCGUCUGUUUUUUACUCGUGUCUGUUCGGGGACGAAUCAGCAUCAGACGUUUGAAUGAUCGGCCGGAGGAUAUGAUGAGAGUUGUUUUUACCUACCUGAGGUGCGGCGGAGUGAAACAGUCCCAAGUGUCGGUGGCAGUUUCUUCUUGUUGGUUUAAUCACAAAACCUGUUGUGUCACCAACAGACUCAGAGGCUCAGGUUGUCUCCAUGUAUCCGACUGACACACAUACUGAGAGAGAGAGAGAGAGAGAGAGAGACAGAGACAGACUGGGAGAGAGAGAGAGACUGAGACUGAGAGAGCGAGAGAGAGAGAGAGAGAGAGAGAGACAGACUGGGAGAGAGAGAGAGACUGAGACUGAGACUGAGAGAGCGAGAGAGAGAGAGAGAGAGAGAGAGAGAGACUGACAGAAAGAGAGAUACAGAGACAGAGACAGAGAGAGAAA